Molecule: ribosomal RNA, 766 nt
Filed under: uncultured bacterium
Lineage: Bacteria
Description: bacterial SSU rRNA
Rfam family: Bacterial small subunit ribosomal RNA
Source: RNAcentral
CGAGGGGCAGCGGGGGUAGCAAUACCCGCCGGCGACCGGCGCACGGGUGAGUAACGCGUAUGCACUUACCUAUCAGAGGGGGAUAACCCGGCGAAAGUCGGACUAAUACCGCAUGAACCCGCAUGGGUAAAGAUUCAUCGCUGAUAGAUAGGCAUGCGUUCCAUUAGGCAGUUGGCGGGGUAACGGCCCACCAAACCGACGAUGGAUAGGGGUUCUGAGAGGAAGGUCCCCCACAUUGGUACUGAGACACGGACCAAACUCCUACGGGAGGCAGCAGUGAGGAAUAUUGGUCAAUGGGCGUAAGCCUGAACCAGCCAAGUCGCGUGAGGGAUGAAGGUUUAUGGAUCGUAAACCUCUUUUAUAAGGGAAUAAGUGCGGGACGUGUCCCGUUUUGUAUGUACCUUAUGAAUAAGGAUCGGCUAACUCCGUGCCAGCAGCCGCGGUAAUACGGAGGAUCCGAGCGUUAUCCGGAUUUAUUGGGUUUAAAGGGUGCGUAGGCGGCCUUUUAAGUCAGCGGUGAAAGUCUGUGGCUCAACCAUAGAAUUGCCGUUGAAACUGGGGGGCUUGAGUAUGUUUGAGGCAGGCGGAAUGCGUGGUGUAGCGGUGAAAUGCAUAGAUAUCACGCAGAACCCCGAUUGCGAAGGCAGCCUGCCAAGCCAUUACUGACGCUGAUGCACGAAAGCGUGGGGAUCAAACAGGAUUAGAUACCCUGGUAGUCCACGCAGUAAACGAUGAUCACUAGCUGUUUGCGAUACAUGUAAGCGGC